AGUGAAGAAGCGGAAAAAGUGGCGACACCACCACCACCACCACUAACGCCACCAUUUCCGCCACAACUAGUAGCAAUGGCACCAGUAUCAGAUCUAAAAGAAGGCGGGGAAGAAGAAGAAGAAGGUGAAGCACGAAUAGGUAAAGGAAAAGAAGAAGAAACCAACUUGCCUAGCUUCUCUUGAAGGCAAAAAGCACAGAUCCCACCAGGGUUAUUUCUAUAAGGAUGAUUACUGCAUUGCAUACCAUCUCCCAUAUCUUCUUCAACACCAACACCAACUCUACCUCCUCCUCCACCUUUGAUU
This 303-nucleotide long non-coding RNA is filed under the name Gossypium raimondii (Peruvian cotton). RNAcentral's name for it is "long non-coding RNA (GRAI_LNC009443)". The record is from RNAcentral. Lineage: Eukaryota; Viridiplantae; Streptophyta; Magnoliopsida; Malvales; Malvaceae.